This is a long non-coding RNA of Anguilla anguilla (European eel), 993 nucleotides long. RefSeq lists it as uncharacterized. The record is from RefSeq and is a predicted model, not a curated record. Lineage: Eukaryota; Metazoa; Chordata; Actinopteri; Anguilliformes; Anguillidae. The transcript has 3 exons.
AACGUCCUGGAGGGUAGGACAAUUUCAGCAUUUCAAGGCAAAGUGAGAGCAGGUUACUGGCCAGCCCUGAAGAUGAACUGGAAAGUGUGGACCCCUUUCCAAUUUAUCAACAUCAACUACGUGCCUGUUCAGUUCCGUGUACUGUUUGCCAACCUGGUGGCUUUGUUCUGGUACGCCUACCUUGCGUCGGUAAGGAAGUGAAGCCGCCCGACCACCCUUCAGUUUUACGGAAUUCAGCAUGUGCCGGACGUGCGUGGUUCCCAGGACACGUGUUUAACAUACUGUAGGCCUGAUUGUACUAAAUAUAGGUGCUGGAAAUGAACGCGAUGGUCGAACCACAUCCAGUGCAGUCGUGGAUUAAACGAACGGUUCGCCAAUGAAGUGGCAGUUCCACAGGGAUCAAAAUGCCAUUUAUAAAUAUAAGGAUUUGCACACGAACUGAGAAUCAUGUUGACUGAUUGUACCGUAUGCGAUAAUUGAAGAGAAUGCCUUGGAUCCUUCACACAUUGCCUCAAUUUGCAGAAUCGCAUGUGUCACAAAAAAACAAAUGGACACGUGAUUAAAUUUAACCUGGAUGCUGAACUGAGAUUUGAGCGAAGCUAAUGCAUUAUCCAUAUUAGUUCAACAACAAAACUCAAUACAAUAGAAAACCAAUGGCUAAUUUUAAGGUGUAAGCUAAACACAACAUGCAGAUUGGUGAUCAAGUAAGACUAAUCAGUAUUGCUCUACUUUAGUAUUACUUCAUUAUCAGUGUUGUUGCUUAUAAGCAAAGCCUGCUGCUGUCUUGAAUACCCACCAGUGUUGUAUAGGAACUCAAAUCCAGUUGCUUGCUACGUAGUAAUGUCUAGAGCAAACGACGUGGAGGAAAACACCUCGAUGUGCACCUGCUGUAUAAAAUCCUGCACUCUGCGCAGGUAUGCGUUAAUGUAACCUUUCGAUGAUCGGCCAUUUUUUUCCACUCAACCUUUGAAAUAAAACAAGUGCUUGCCUUCA